Eleginops maclovinus (Patagonian blennie) is the source of this 308-nucleotide long non-coding RNA. RefSeq lists it as uncharacterized. NCBI's taxonomy places the organism in Eukaryota, Metazoa, Chordata, Actinopteri, Perciformes, Eleginopidae. The record is from RefSeq and is a predicted model, not a curated record. The transcript has 2 exons.
UAUUAUUUUGGUAAUGUGUAAGUUGUGCUAUUGUUAUUUUGGUCAGGCAGUUAAUUGGCCACCUAUGGCUGAGCACUAUAAAGCUGAGGUUUCAUUAGGACCUCUUCCUUUUCUGGCAUCUUCAGGAGUGGGAUCGAAGUCCAGCUGUUGCAGGCUGACUGUUGAAGUAAUUUGAUUCUUUUGUGUUUGAUGGUGUGCGUGCAUCUAGUGAACCACACACAUAAAUACAUACAAACUCUGAUCACACAUUGAUCAUUCUUACUCUGUGUUGUGGGUGUGAAGACUCAAUAAAGACUCAUUUCUUUGGA